Molecule: long non-coding RNA, 320 nt
Organism: Capra hircus (goat)
Lineage: Eukaryota; Metazoa; Chordata; Mammalia; Artiodactyla; Bovidae
Exons: 3
Source: RefSeq, a predicted model, not a curated record
CAGGCAACAGGCUCUGACACUAAAGGUAGAUUUUCUCUCCCUGUUCUUUUCUUCCGCAAAGCUCAGUGCUCACCCAGCCUCACAGUUUCCAUGAAUCAUGAGACCAAGAUGGAAUCAUGAGGUCAGGAGGCAGGACCAUGCUGCCCUUCGAUGAAGAGGACCAGGCAGAAGUUUUACUGACACAUCUGCCCAGCUACAGGAAUUCCCCCUCCACAACCCAGAGGAUGGAGAAGUGAUGUCCUUAGAAACACAUUUUCCGUGGAAGAUAAGUUCAUAGAAAAGAAUUACAAAACCUACAAGGAAGACCAACAACACUAAAG